RNAcentral lists this ribosomal RNA (44 nucleotides) under Paecilomyces variotii. RNAcentral describes it as "Byssochlamys spectabilis partial 18S ribosomal RNA". Lineage: Eukaryota; Fungi; Ascomycota; Eurotiomycetes; Eurotiales; Thermoascaceae. The record is from RNAcentral.
CCCGGUAAUGAUCCUUCCGCAGGUUCACCUACGAAGGAUCAUUA